RNAcentral lists this ribosomal RNA (491 nucleotides) under uncultured bacterium. Its description in RNAcentral is "bacterial SSU rRNA". It matches the Rfam family "Bacterial small subunit ribosomal RNA", at positions 28 to 490 of the family's 1533-position model. The record is from RNAcentral.
GAUAAACGCUGGCGGCGCACAUAAGACAUGCAAGUCGAACGGAAGUCGUUAUAAUGAUUUGGAUUUGAAGAUUUAUCGGAAAUGAAGAAGAUUUAUAACAAUGGCUUUAGUGGCGGACUGGUGAGUAACGCGUAAGCAAUCUGCCUAUUAGAGGGGAAUAACAGUGAGAAAUCACUGCUAAUACCGCAUAUGCCAUAGUUAUCGCAUGAUAAUAGUGGGAAAGGAGUAAUCCGCUAAUAGAUGAGCUUGCGUCUGAUUAGCUAGUUGGUGGGGUAAUGGCCUACCAAGGCGACGAUCAGUAGCCGGACUGAGAGGUUGAACGGCCACAUUGGGACUGAGAUACGGCCCAGACUCCUACGGGAGGCAGCAGUGGGGAAUAUUGGGCAAUGGGCGCAAGCCUGACCCAGCAACGCCGCGUGAAGGAAGAAGGUUUUCGGAUUGUAAACUUCUGUCCUUGGUGACGAAGAAAGUGACGGUAGCCAAGGAGGAAG